Molecule: ribosomal RNA, 466 nt
Filed under: uncultured bacterium
Lineage: Bacteria
Description: partial 16S ribosomal RNA
Rfam family: Bacterial small subunit ribosomal RNA
Source: RNAcentral
GAUGAACGCUGGCGGCGUGCUUAACACAUGCAAGUCGAACGGAAAGGCGCCUGCUUGCCUGGGUACUCGAGUGGCGAACGGGUGAGUAACACGUGGGUGAUCUGCCCUGCACUUCGGGAUAAGCCUGGGAAACUGGGUCUAAUACCGGAUAGGACGAUGGUUUGGAUGGUGUUGUGGAAAGUUUUUUCGGUGUGGGUUGAGCGGGCGGCCUACCGGCUUGUUGGUGGGGUAAUGGCAUAUAAAGGCGUCGCCGGGUAGCGGGCCUGAGAGGGUGUACGGCCCCAUUGGACCUGGGGAAGGACCCGGAGUCCACCGGGGGCAAGCGGGGGGAAAAAUUGACAAAUGGGCGGAGGCCGAGUCCAGGGCCGCCGGGUGGGGAAGACCGGCUGUCGGUUUGUAACGGCCUUUCGCAUGGACCGAACCUCAUGUGACGGUACCUGGAGAAGAAGCACCGGCUAACUACGUG